GACGAACGCUGGCGGCGUGCUUAACACAUGCAAGUCGAACGGAAAGGCCUGCUUUCCCUUGUGGAUUGCGGGUACUCGCGUGGCGAACGGGUGAGUAACACGUGAGUGAUCUGCCCCCAACUUGGGUAUAAGCCUGGGAAACUGGGUCUAAUUCCCGAUAGCACUGCAGGGUGGUGCCGGGGGUGGAAAACGAUUUUCUAGUGGUUGGGGAUGAGCUCGCGGCCUAUCAGGUUGGUGGUGGGGUAAUGGCCUACCAAGGGGGCGACGGGAAGCCGGCCUGGGAGGGUGGACGGACAGAUUGGGACUGAGACACGGCUCAGACUGCUACGGGAGGCAGAAGUCGGGAAGAGUGCGCAAUGGGCGGAAGCCUGAAGCGGCGGCGCCGCGUGGGGGAUGACGGCGUGCGGGUGGUAAACUCCCUUGGACCGCGAGGAAGCCACCUGGUUGGAAGGGUGGUGACGGUAGUGGUAGAAGAAGCACCGGCUAACUACGUG
Molecule: ribosomal RNA, 494 nt
Filed under: uncultured bacterium
Lineage: Bacteria
Description: partial 16S ribosomal RNA
Rfam family: Bacterial small subunit ribosomal RNA
Source: RNAcentral